CGCUGGAGGGCGGAGGGGGAUGGAGAGCGGGAGCAGCCUCACAGAAUCACAGAGUAUUCUGAAGGGACCCACGAGGAUCAUCGAGUCCGGCUCCUGGCCCUGCACAGGAUGCCCCAACUACAUGGCAAAGCAGCCAGCACUGACAAACAGAAGUUUUGUGUUUUACGAUCCACCACAACUGCUGAACUUCUCAGGACUCCUGAACAAAAGUAUAAAAAGUGCUAUUUUGCUCUAGCUCACUGUAGUUAAAACACUUUUGAUCCUGAGGAAGCAUCCAGGCAGGUGCUCUCCCACAGCACAGCUCAGACUAAAAACAAAACGUAAUUGUCAUGUGGAAACAGCAUUUUCUCUUCCAUUUUCACAGGAGGAAAAUGGUUAACAGGGUUAACAGGUGGGCAUAAAAGGACGUCUCAGCAAGUCCUCUUCUCCUGCAAGUCAGCAGCUAGGAGGGAAACGGCCAAAGCAGGGAAGCAACGCCUGUUUAAAGAGAAGAAGGACUUUUCCACCUUACCACUUUUUUUCCCCCCUCAGGUGCUGUGACUAGAAAGUAUUCCCUUCCUUUUUCUCCAAAACAAAUAGGAAACUAGAGAAGUCCCUAACCCAGAACCUGUAUCCCUAAAAUGAAGUCUUUGCUUUCCAGCACCACCAUGCUGGCAUGUAUGUAUCAUGAGUGCAAAACAUAAUUUAAGCAUAAUUAAAUUAAGAAAUUCCUCUGCACAAUAAAGGUGAUUUGUUUAUCUA
This is a long non-coding RNA of Vidua macroura (Pin-tailed whydah), 741 nucleotides long. RefSeq lists it as uncharacterized. The record is from RefSeq and is a predicted model, not a curated record. The transcript is spliced from 2 exons. NCBI's taxonomy places the organism in Eukaryota, Metazoa, Chordata, Aves, Passeriformes, Viduidae.